GACGAACGCUGGCGGCGUGCUUAACACAUGCAAGUCGAACGAUGAAGCCUAGCCUUGCUAGGUGGAUUAGUGGCGAUGGGUGAGUAAUACGUGAGUAACCUACCUUUAACUCUGGGAUAAGCCCGGGAAACUGGGUCUAAUACCGGAUACGACCAAUCUCCCGCAUGGGGUGUUGGUGGAAAGCGUUAUGUAGUGGUUAUAGAUGGGCUCACGGCCUAUCAGCUUGUUGGUGAGGUAACGGCUCACCAAGGCGACGACGGGUAGCCGGCCUGAGAGGGUGACCGGCCACACUGGGACUGAGACACGGCCCAGACUCCUACGGGAGGCAGCAGUGGGGAAUAUUGCACAAUGGGCGCAAGCCUGAUGCAGCGACGCCGCGUGAGGGAUGACGGCCUUCGGGUUGUAAACCUCUGUUAGCAGGGAAGAAGAGAGAUUGACGGUACCUGCAGAGAAAGCGCCGGCUAACUACGUGCCAGCAGCCGCGGUAAUACGUAGGGCGCGAGCGUUGUCCGGAAUUAUUGGGCGUAAAGAGCUUGUAGGCGGUUUGUCGCGUCUGCUGUGAAAGGCCGGGGCUUAACUCCGUGUAUUGCAGUGGGUACGGGCAGACUAGAGUGCAGUAGGGGAGACUGGAAUUCCUGGUGUAGCGGUGGAAUGCGCAGAUAUCAGGAGGAACACCGAUGGCGAAGGCAGGUCUCUGGGCUGUAACUGACGCUGAGAAGCGAAAGCAUGGGGAGCGAACAGG
This 742-nucleotide ribosomal RNA is filed under the name Rothia mucilaginosa. Its description in RNAcentral is "bacterial SSU rRNA". It matches the Rfam family "Bacterial small subunit ribosomal RNA", at positions 28 to 776 of the family's 1533-position model. The record is from RNAcentral. Lineage: Bacteria; Bacillati; Actinomycetota; Actinomycetes; Micrococcales; Micrococcaceae.